RNAcentral lists this ribosomal RNA (456 nucleotides) under uncultured Sphingobacteriales bacterium. RNAcentral's name for it is "bacterial SSU rRNA". It matches the Rfam family "Bacterial small subunit ribosomal RNA", at positions 924 to 1382 of the family's 1533-position model. The record is from RNAcentral. Lineage: Bacteria; Pseudomonadati; Bacteroidota; Sphingobacteriia; Sphingobacteriales.
CACAAGCGGAGGAACAUGUGGUUAAUUCGAUGAUACGCGAGGAACCUUACCUGGGCUCGAACGUAAGAUGACUGUAGGUGAAAGCUUACAUCUCUUCGGAGCAUUUUACGAGGUGCUGCAUGGUUGUCGUCAGCUCGUGCCGUGAGGUGUCGGGUUAAGUCCCAUAACGAGCGCAACCCCUACCUUUAGUUGCCAUCAGGUUAAGCUGGGGACUCUAAAGGAACUGCCUACGCAAGUAGUGAGGAAGGCGGGGAUGACGUCAAAUCAGCACGGCCCUUACGUCCAGGGCUACACACGUGCUACAAUGGCCGAUACAGAGGGCAGCUACCUGGUGACAGGAUGCAAAUCUCCAAAGUCGGUCUCAGUUCGGAUCGCAGUCUGCAACUCGACUGCGUGAAGUCGGAAUCGCUAGUAAUCGUGAAUCAGAAUGUCACGGUGAAUACGUUCCCGGGCCUU